This 104-nucleotide small nuclear RNA is filed under the name Nannospalax galili (Upper Galilee mountains blind mole rat). The record is from RNAcentral. Lineage: Eukaryota; Metazoa; Chordata; Mammalia; Rodentia; Spalacidae.
GUGAUCACUUUGGCAGCAAAUAUUCAAAUUGGAACAAUACAGGAAGAUUAGCAUGGCCCCUUUUCAAGGAUGACACACAAAUUCAUGAAGCGUUCCAUAUUUAA